UAGGGAAUCUUCCACAAUGGACGCAAGUCUGAUGGAGCAACGCCGCGUGAGUGAAGAAGGCUUUCGGGUCGUAAAACUCUGUUGUUGGAGAAGAAUGGUCGGCAGAGUAACUGUUGUCGGCGUGACGGUAUCCAACCAGAAAGCCACGGCUAACUACGUGCCAGCAGCCGCGGUAAUACGUAGGUGGCAAGCGUUAUCCGGAUUUAUUGGGCGUAAAGCGAGCGCAGGCGGUUUUUUAAGUCUGAUGUGAAAGCCCUCGGCUUAACCGAGGAAGCGCAUCGGAAACUGGGAAACUUGAGUGCAGAAGAGGACAGUGGAACUCCAUGUGUAGCGGUGAAAUGCGUAGAUAUAUGGAAGAACACCAGUGGCGAAGGCGGCUGUCUGGUCUGUAACUGACGCUGAGGCUCGAAAGCAUGGGUAGCGAACAGGAUUAGAUACCCUGGUAGUCCAUG
This 452-nucleotide ribosomal RNA is filed under the name uncultured bacterium. RNAcentral describes it as "partial 16S ribosomal RNA". It matches the Rfam family "Bacterial small subunit ribosomal RNA", at positions 355 to 799 of the family's 1533-position model. The record is from RNAcentral.